UAAAGAGCACCUAUUAUGGGAUACACGUUUUUAAACAUCCUUUUGUGUGUAAGUGUGCAUUAGUACAUGCUAACGAUAUUCAAAAAGUACAUACCUCAAAGAAAACGAUGACGCGAGUUAUCGUCUCUAAUGUUCGAGGACUACAAAAAACACUCGGAUUGUAGGCAACAGUUUACUUCCUGGGAUUAGUGACGUAGAUAAGACCAACAUUAUCAUAGUUCAGCCCUCUCUGCUUUGCUUGGGUACGCCCUCAAAGACGAGGGUGGGGAGCGCCGAGUCAGAAGAGAGCUAAAAUGGCGGAGGUUGUGAGUCCCUGCUUUGACUGUUUGCAAACUCUUGUUUCAUUGUUUAAGCGAUUAAAUCUCUCGAGUAGACGCUGUCUCUUUAGAUGCGAGGGAAAAAUAGCACUUUAUGGACUUCCACAGAGGACAUCAUGUUUAAUACGGUUCCGGAAAAAUCCAGUCAGAAGUUGUUCACGGAGUUUUCACAAUAACUGCUUCUCAUGAACCGAAGCUGGAUUUGCGCGACGUCUCCUCUUGAAAGUUGGAUUACUGUGCACUUCUGGAUCACAGGCUAUUCGCAGCUGGACACAUCCUUCUACACUGUAUGCAAACAUGCAACAUCAUAACACACAGUACAAGGAGUCAGACUGGCAUAUGAGGAGCAAAGGAACCCAGGCAGUAGCAUCGUUUCACAAUGUUUCCAUCACCAUCAUCAGUGGAUGCCUUUGCCGUCCGUAGCCUGAGAUUUCAGAUUUGCAGCAAAAAUUUUUUGAUUUUCUCAUUUAUUGGAAUGCUGUGCAGGUAUUUGUACCUUGCAGCCAUCCAUUACAAUGUCACCAAGCCGUAACAAAAGCAGGAGAGGGAAAGUACAAGGCUAUGUUCCCAAAACACACAAGUGACAUACCUUAUGUGGAGGAUGUGAUCAGGCUUGUGUUUGAUGAGGUAUUUGAAGAUAAGCUGAAGGAAACCCCGAUUCCAAUGGACCUGGCAUCACAGUUUGAGAGACCUUCAAAGGAGGACGUGAUUGCAUGCCAUCUUCAGUGCAGGGGUCGUCGGAAGCCAACAUUCCGAUCAGGAAGCUCCAAGCGUAUCUGGAGAACAACACACGACAGGAUGAUAACCUUAUAGUGUCGUCUUAAAUAGCACCAGCUGACAAAGCUUUGAUAUGCCAUUUAUCUGAAUAGAUAGCUGUAAGAAAUGAAUUGAACAAUUUUUGAAACAAGAGCACAAUAUGGUUACUAAAGUAUGUUUAUUUGUAUAUUGUUUAACAUUUAAAUAUAUAUUUGUAAUAAAUAAAUAAAAACUU
Molecule: non-coding RNA, 1308 nt
Organism: Paramisgurnus dabryanus
Lineage: Eukaryota; Metazoa; Chordata; Actinopteri; Cypriniformes; Cobitidae
Source: RefSeq, a predicted model, not a curated record